GAUGAACGCUAGCUACAGGCUUAACACAUGCAAGUCGAGGGGCAGCAUGGAGUCAGCUUGCUGACUUUGAUGGCGACCGGCGCACGGGUGAGUAACGCGUAUCCAACCUUCCCCAUAGUAGAGAAUAGCCCGGCGAAAGUCGGAUUAAUACUCUAUGUUCUUUCUGGAUGGCAUCUGAUGGAAAGCAAAGGUUCACCGCUAAGGGAUGGGGAUGCGUCUGAUUAGGUUGUUGGCGGGGUAACGGCCCACCAAGCCGACGAUCAGUAGGGGUUCUGAGAGGAAGGUCCCCCACAUUGGUACUGAGACACGGACCAAACUCC
This 320-nucleotide ribosomal RNA is filed under the name uncultured Prevotella sp. RNAcentral's name for it is "bacterial SSU rRNA". It matches the Rfam family "Bacterial small subunit ribosomal RNA", at positions 28 to 339 of the family's 1533-position model. The record is from RNAcentral. Lineage: Bacteria; Pseudomonadati; Bacteroidota; Bacteroidia; Bacteroidales; Prevotellaceae.